UUGUGUAUAAAAAAAAUUUGAUAGUUGAAGUAUUGGUAGGAGAAAAUUUUAUUUAUAAGUAAUUCCUUUUUGCAUUAUGGAAAUAAAAGAUUUAUAUUUAUUAAAUUUUUCCGAAAUUAACAGAAAUACAAUAGUUAAGAAAAUUAUAAAAUAAAUUUUAAUUAAUUUUUUGUAGUGAUGAAAUGUUUUACGAGGUUAAUUAUAUCUGAUUAUUAAUAAAAAAUUAUUUUUUAGAUUAUUAUUAAUUUUUAAGAUUUAAGGGAUUAGCUUUAUUUCUUGUAUUUUAUAAAAUUAAAUUUAUAUAUUAUUAAAAUUAAAAGAGUUUUAUUUUUUGAAAAGUAAUAUUUUCUUAUAUUAUAAUUUUAUUAAUUUUAUGAAUAAGUAGUAGUUAUAAUUUAUUUAUUAGUAAAUAUAAAGUUAAAUUAGAAUUAUUUGAUUUUUAUUAAUUAUGUUUUACAAAGACGAAUUUUUUAGAAUAAUUAAAAAUAUGUUCUGCCCAGUGAUUAUAUUUGUUUAACGGCUGCUUUAUUUUAAGAGUAUGAAGGUAGCAUAAUAAUUUGGUUUUUAAUUGAGAUCUAGAAUGAAUGGGUUAGGUUAAUAAAAUGAUUUUAAAUUUAAUAAUUUGAAUUUUUUAAUUUUGUGAAGAAACAAAAAUACAAUAAGGGACGAUAAGACCCUUUAAGCUUUAUUUUAGUUGGGGUAAUUAUUGAAAAUAAAAAUUUUUUUUUUGUUUAUUAGAUCCAAAAUUUUUGAAUUUUAGGUAAGCUACUAUAGGGAUAACAGCGUAAAUUAAAUGGAGAGUUUGUAUUAAUAUUUGAUGUUGCGACCUCGAUGUUGGCUUAAAAUGUCUUUUAGGUGGAGAGACUUAGAAAAGAUGGUUUGUUCACCCAUAAAAUUUUUACAUGAGCUGAGUUCAGGUCGAUGAAAAUUAGACUGGUUUCUAUCUUUAAAAUUUUAAAACUUGUACGAAAGGACUGUUUUA
This 982-nucleotide ribosomal RNA is filed under the name Setaphyes kielensis. RNAcentral's name for it is "large subunit ribosomal RNA". The stretch from base 660 to 949 matches the Rfam family "Archaeal large subunit ribosomal RNA", at positions 2151 to 2715 of the family's 2987-position model. Lineage: Eukaryota; Metazoa; Kinorhyncha; Allomalorhagida; Pycnophyidae. The record is from RNAcentral.